UGUGUGUUAGUGGAAGCGUCUGGAAAGGCGCGCGAUACAGGGUGACAGCCCCGUACACAAAAAUGCACAUGCUGUGAGCUCGAUGAGUAGGGCGGGACACGUGGUAUCCUGUCUGAAUAUGGGGGGACCAUCCUCCAAGGCUAAAUACUCCUGACUGACCGAUAGUGAACCAGUACCGUGAGGGAAAGGCGAAAAGAACCCCGGCGAGGGGAGUGAAAAAGAACCUGAAACCGUGUACGUACAAGCAGUGGGAGCACGCUUAGGCGUGUGACUGCGUACCUUUUGUAUAAUGGGUCAGCGACUUAUAUUCUGUAGCAAGGUUAACCGAAUAGGGGAGCCGAAGGGAAACCGAGUCUUAACUGGGCGUUAAGUUGCAGGGUAUAGACCCGAAACCCGGUGAUCUAGCCAUGGGCAGGUUGAAGGUUGGGUAACACUAACUGGAGGACCGAACCGACUAAUGUUGAAAAAUUAGCGGAUGACUUGUGGCUGGGGGUGAAAGGCCAAUCAAACCGGGAGAUAGCUGGUUCUCCCCGAAAGCUAUUUAGGUAGCGCCUCGUGAAUUCAUCUCCGGGGGUAGAGCACUGUUUCGGCAAGGGGGUCAUCCCGACUUACCAACCCGAUGCAAACUGCGAAUACCGGAGAAUGUUAUCACGGGAGACACACGGCGGGUGCUAACGUCCGUCGUGAAGAGGGAAACAACCCAGACCGCCAGCUAAGGUCCCAAAGUCAUGGUUAAGUGGGAAACGAUGUGGGAAGGCCCAGACAGCCAGGAUGUUGGCUUAGAAGCAGCCAUCAUUUAAAGAAAGCGUAAUAGCUCACUGGUCGAGUCGGCCUGCGCGGAAGAUGUAACGGGGCUAAACCAUGCACCGAAGCUGCGGCAGCGACGCUUAUGCGUUGUUGGGUAGGGGAGCGUUCUGUAAGCCUGCGAAGGUGUGCUGUGAGGCA
RNAcentral lists this ribosomal RNA (945 nucleotides) under Escherichia coli. RNAcentral's name for it is "partial 23S ribosomal RNA". It matches the Rfam family "Bacterial large subunit ribosomal RNA", at positions 323 to 1270 of the family's 2925-position model. The record is from RNAcentral. Lineage: Bacteria; Pseudomonadati; Pseudomonadota; Gammaproteobacteria; Enterobacterales; Enterobacteriaceae.